AGAUGGCGACCGGCGCACGGGUGAGUAACACGUAUCCAACCUGCCGAUAACUCGGGGAUAGCCUUUCGAAAGAAAGAUUAAUACCCGAUGGUAUAAUCAGACCGCAUGGUUCGAUUAUUAAAGAAUUUCGGUUAUCGAUGGGGAUGCGUUCCAUUAGGCAGUUGGUGAGGUAACGGCUCACCAAACCUUCGAUGGAUAGGGGUUCUGAGAGGAAGGUCCCCCACAUUGGAACUGAGACACGGUCCAA
This 247-nucleotide ribosomal RNA is filed under the name uncultured bacterium. RNAcentral describes it as "partial 16S ribosomal RNA". It matches the Rfam family "Bacterial small subunit ribosomal RNA", at positions 86 to 334 of the family's 1533-position model. The record is from RNAcentral.